RNAcentral lists this ribosomal RNA (309 nucleotides) under uncultured eukaryote. RNAcentral's name for it is "partial large subunit ribosomal RNA". It matches the Rfam family "Eukaryotic large subunit ribosomal RNA", at positions 40 to 350 of the family's 3401-position model. The record is from RNAcentral.
AUAUUACUCAGCGGAGGAAAAGAAACUAACUAAGAUUGCCCCAGUAACUGCGAGUGAAGAGGCAAGAGCUCAACCUUUAAAUCGCUGUGCCCAGGUACAGCGAAUUGUAAGCUCAUGGUCCGGACUUAGGCCGGUUUGACGCUUAAGGCUAUGGAACUGGCCGCCAAAGAGGGUGAAAGCCCCGUUCACAGCGUCAAACUAGCUGAGAGAAAGAACCUCAGAGUCGGGUUGUUUGGUAAUGCAGCCCUAAAUUGGAGAUAAACAUCUUCUAAAGCUAAAUAUGAAUGGGAGACCGAUAGCGCACAAGUA